Molecule: ribosomal RNA, 329 nt
Filed under: Ehrlichia canis
Lineage: Bacteria; Pseudomonadati; Pseudomonadota; Alphaproteobacteria; Rickettsiales; Anaplasmataceae
Description: bacterial SSU rRNA
Rfam family: Bacterial small subunit ribosomal RNA
Source: RNAcentral
UUGUUAGUGGCAGACGGGUGAGUAAUGCGUAGGAAUCUACCUAGUAGUACGGAAUAGCCAUUAGAAAUGGUGGGUAAUACUGUAUAAUCCCCGAGGGGGAAAGAUUUAUCGCUAUUAGAUGAGCCUACGUUAGAUUAGCUAGUUGGUGAGGUAAUGGCUUACCAAGGCUAUGAUCUAUAGCUGGUCUGAGAGGACGAUCAGCCACACUGGAACUGAGAUACGGUCCAGACUCCUACGGGAGGCAGCAGUGGGGAAUAUUGGACAAUGGGCGAAAGCCUGAUCCAGCUAUGCCGCGUGAGUGAAGAAGGCCUUCGGGUUGUAAAACUCUU